UCCUGGCUCAGGAUGAACGCUGGCGGUCUGCUUAACACAUGCAAGUCGAACGCAAGUAGCAAUACUUGAGUGGCGGACGGGUGAGUAACGCGUGAGAAUCUGCCUUUUGGUCGGGGACAACCAUUGGAAACGAUGGCUAAUACCCGAUGUGCCUAUGGGUGAAAGAUUUAUUGCCAGAAGAGGAGCUCGCGUCUGAUUAGCUAGUUGGUAGGGUAAAAGCCUACCAAGGCAUCGAUCAGUAGCUGGUCUGAGAGGAUGACCAGCCACACUGGGACUGAGACACGGCCCAGACUCCUACGGGAGGCAGCAGUGGGGAAUUUUCCGCAAUGGGCGAAAGCCUGACGGAGCAAGACCGCGUGAGGGAGGAAGGCUCUUGGGUCGUAAACCUCUUUUGUCAGGGAAGAACACAAUGACGGUACCUGACGAAUCAGCCUCGGCUAACUCCGUGCCAGCAGCCGCGGUAAUACGGAGGAGGCAAGCGUUAUCCGGAAUUAUUGGGCGUAAAGCGUCCGCAGGUGGCACCUCAAGUCUGCUGUCAAAGACCGGGGCUUAACCCCAGAAAGGCAGUGGAAACUGAAGUGCUAGAGUGCAGUAGGGGUAGAGGGAAUUCCCGGUGUAGCGGUGAAAUGCGUAGAGAUCGGGAAGAACAUCGGUGGCGAAGGCGCUCUGCUGGACUGCAACUGACACUCAGGGACGAAAGCUAGGGGAGCGAAUGGGAUUAGAUACCCCAGUAGUCCUAGCCGUAAACGAUGGAUACUAGGUGUGGCUUGUAUCGACCCGAGCCGUGCCGUAGCUAACGCGUUAAGUAUCCCGCCUGGGGAGUACGCACGCAAGUGUGAAACUCAAAUGAAUUG
This 854-nucleotide ribosomal RNA is filed under the name uncultured Microcoleus sp. RNAcentral describes it as "bacterial SSU rRNA". It matches the Rfam family "Bacterial small subunit ribosomal RNA", at positions 17 to 912 of the family's 1533-position model. The record is from RNAcentral. Lineage: Bacteria; Bacillati; Cyanobacteriota; Cyanophyceae; Oscillatoriales; Microcoleaceae.